This is a non-coding RNA of Lolium perenne, 5184 nucleotides long. Lineage: Eukaryota; Viridiplantae; Streptophyta; Magnoliopsida; Poales; Poaceae. The record is from RefSeq and is a predicted model, not a curated record.
CGUUAGCCCUGCGCCAGUAGAAUUUCCAACCCGCUUUUGACAGCAGCCGUCCGAUGUGGUAGCUUUUUUCUCACCCGCUGCUUCUCUGGACAGGUGACUGACGGGUGGGACUAGGUGUGUGCGGGACCAGCGAACAGAGGCAGGGACGCUGCUCGUUUCACGUCGCAUGGAUCACACAUCAUGGUAAAAACCUAGAUCGAGAUAACCAUCCAAUCCCCUCCCGACCAUGUGCUUCCCAUCUGCGCUCCUUCCUCCUCCCGCACAUCGUUGUGGCGGCGGACCACUCCCGCGCCAAGAGAUCAUCGCCAUUCGCUUGGUGCCCCUUCCUCCCGCUCCUCCCCCACAUCGUUGUGGCGGCGGAUCCUACCGGUGGCUGGGCGUCUUCCAUUGCUCGUGAAGGGCUGGAUUUGCAGGCGGCGGCGUGGAGGUUGUAGGCCGACGCGGAGAAGAGGCAGAGGCGCGCGGGAGAUGCGGAGAAGCAGAAGCGGGGCGGCGGCGUGGAUGAUGCAGGCCGGCGCGGAGAAGAGGCAGCGGCGGGCGGUACGACGGCGCCAGCAAGAAGCAGCGGUGCGGCGCGGAGAAGAGGCAACAGGGGCGGCGCGGGCAAGAAGCGGCGGCGCGACGCCCACGAGCUCGUCCUCACGGAGGGAUGCGGUCAAGAAUUAGUGGGGCCAGUGCAGAUGCCGCCUACGAGCUCGUCCUCGCGGAGGACGCCGUACACCACGAGCUCGUCCUCACGGAGGAUGGGUCGACACCGGCGGCCUUUGCGCCAGCAAGAAGCAGCGGUGUGGCGCGGAGAAGAGGCAGCAGGGGGCGGCGCGGGCAAGAAGCGGCGGCGCGACGCCCACGAGCUCGUCCUCACUGAGGGAUGCGGUCAAGAAACAGUGGGGGCGGUGCAGAUGCCGCCUACGAGCUCGUCCUCGCGGAGGACGCCGUACACCACGAGCUCGUCCUCACGGAGGACGGGUCGACACUGGCGGCCUUUGGCACUAUGCACGAGAUUGAGCCGGCGGUCUACUGGCUAAGAGGUCCGCUUUCCUUAUCUUCGUCCACAGCAUCCACACCUCCGCGUCAAGCUGGACGAAUUUGUGCGUGGUGUCAUCCUCGGAACGCGGGCAACCUGCUACUGCCGCUGAUGUUUCUUCAUAUGUUCCUUGGCAGCCAGUCGACGGUUUGGAAUGGUGAUGGGUUGAGCAACAAUACAACGUUUCUUUGUCCUAGGAAAUAUGAACAAUGUGGAGAAAUGGAAUUGGAAAAGAGAUGCUAUUGGUGUUGUCCCUGUCUAAUAGAUGACACAAUGUACGGGAUAUUUUGGGCUGGAGCAUUGCAGCUCUGACGCUUGUGCUGCUGUGCCCCAAAGUUUUGCAAAUGGUUUCUACUGACAAGAAGCUGCAGGGCAGUGCGGACAAGAAUCAGCAGGGCGGCGGUGCUCCGCCUAGAGGACUUGCAGGGGAGAGGAAGGAGGCCAGCAACAGGAGGGAAGAGCAGGCGGCCUCCCCUCUUUCUUUUUCCGGCACUGCAGGACGAGGAGUUCAUCUUGCCUGUUUGGCUGGUUCGGUUCUCUUCUCCUUUCCUGCUGCCUCCCUUACCGCCUCACUCCCCUUCAUCCCUAAGAACUAGAGGACAUGAGAUCAAACUGGUUCUUUGGGAUGAUCUUGCAGCUCAGUGCACCUUCUUUGUUGGACCAUUCCCUGAGAUGGUAAAAGCAGGUAUUUUGAGUAAUGGAAAUUAUUAUACUUGGAUUGUAAGUGUGAUGCGAUUUUUCUUUUAAACUAAACCAACCAUGAUUCGGUUUGUCCACAGAGUGCAUGACUGUUUUAGAGUAAGCUAACCUUGACUGUUUUAAAGUAAAUGGCAUAUUUUGAAUGAUUUCUUUUAUUCGAGCAUUGUUGACCACUAUUCUUUAUGUUAUGACAUUUUCUAUUUAUGCUUCGGAGCUAAUGCAACUAUGUGACCAAUCAUGUAUUUAUAAAGCGGGUGGCGGAUUUCGAGCGAGCAACGACGACCUUGCGUGGGCACAGAGGCCAUGGUGAGCGAUGCGGAAAAGCUUGAUUUCGAGCGGAUCCAAGGAGAGAGGAAAAGCGCAAAUGCCUACGGGAGGAAGAGCAGCGCGGCUGACCGGGAACCGUUCAGUUGAUUGCAAUUAUGGUGCUGCACAACACCCAGGCAGGCUGUCAAAGGCUGCCCCUUCUUUCUCCAUUUUAGCAACUGCAGUACCUGAUGGAUGCUACUAAUCAGGGAGUAGGUUGCAGCUCACUCAAAACAAUUUGGUGGGGCUGGCUUGGCCAUGUCAGAGAGCAGCACGGCGGCGGCUCAAGCGUGGAAGGAGGGGGUGUGGUGGGUGUUGGAUCCGACGACUUGCCAUGAACGCGCUUCAUCGCGUCGCCGCUGCAGUCGUUGUGGAAGCUGUACGACAUGAUGGUGCUGGAUCAUGCCAGACCAUGGGCCGUGAGGUUUCCAUGGUUAGAAACACGAUCAAAAGCCCCAGAGGCAGUAGUAUAUUUGGUACUAUAUUAGUUUGAAGAUUGCGUUGGAUCCAUAAGAAAGAGGGAAGAUAUGGAGUGGUAACUCCAUAUUUCACAUCGAUGUGUGACAGGACUGAGAAAAGAAGCCCCAUCUACUUGGUCAAUCGGUCUUAUGGGAUUUUGGCGUUCUUUGUAGAAGAGAAAAGAAGAUUCAGAUUGUAGAUCGCUUGAUUAAAGAGUGAGAGGUCCAUUCUUAUUUUAUAGUUUGCUUACAGUCUGUUUGCACCUGACACAAUUUUCAGAGGAUAUGUUUUCAGAUCUUCUGUUUCCUUAAAUGAUAAGAUUCAUUGAGCUACUGCAUAAUUUUCAAGUAACGAUGAUGAAGUGGGGCAGCAAUACAUAUCAAGUCUAGCCAGCAGCUGAAAAGAAAAAAAAGGUUUGCAUACUCGCCUUUUUUACUUUGUGGGAGUAAAUGGGCUUCCACCUAUUUAUUAUGAGCCUGUAGUUAAAAUAAUUGAUCAUCAAUAGGUGGUGCCUGAAUAAAUAGCUAUAACAAGUUUUUUUCUAGCAUCUACUCACGAACUGGUUAUAUGUUUCCAGUUAUGUAUUAUUUUACCUGAAUACACAGAGCACAAUUUCGCACAGUUGCAAUGGCCUCUUUGCUUGUGCAGAAGUGCAGUUUUUGCAAGGCUGACAACAUGGCUACUUUUUAACUGAUGUAUUGUUGGGUUCCUUUUCUUUAGCUGUUGGUGUGCCAUGGUAAUUGUCCUGAAAGAAAACCAACUAAAUUUGUUGUGUUUUUAACACGAUUUUGGUGUGUUUGAGAUUAUGCCACUUACACUCGUAUUGCAUUUUUUCUCAGCCAAAAAGAACAUUCGUUCUAUUCUCACCCAAUUUAUUAUUUCAUACAUCACAUGCUAAAUGUAUUCUCAGGGCAAAGGCAAUGCGUAUUAAAGCUUUUUGUUGCUGCAUAGACAAACCCGUCUCAAUUAUUGUUGUAUCGCUUCUCUUGAUAUUCAGAAUUUAACAUGGAUUUUUAUGUUCUUGAUAAUCCUAUAUAAAAUGCUAAAAUUGUGUUGAUGUUAAACAAAAAACUCAAAAAUGUAGGGAUUGAGCGAUAUAUGCAAUUUUUAAUUUAUGUUGAUGUACUGCCUGAUGAUAUUUUUUUUGAAAGCUUAUUGCCUGAUGAUGUUCUUGUGUGCUUGGGGAUCUGCUUGCGGGUGACUUUAUAAAUAACGAAAACAAAAAACUGGUCUUUAUUUUUCUGAAGCUAUGACCUUUUAACAGUAGCCUUAGUUCUUUGUCAGAUGCUUGUUUUGCCGUUGUUUUUAUUUAUGACCCCAUCAAUUCGGGCUUUUUGCAAGCUAGGUAUUUAUUUUGUUGUUUUAACAGAUUCAUAGGUUCACUCCUUUUCUGGUUUAAUUGCGAGCUGCUCCGUUCACACCUUUCAGGUGGAUGAGUUUGUUCAAACAAUUAAAGUAGACAAACAGAAAUCUUGAUGAAACACUACAUUUUUCAGUACCGAUCGUUAUACAUACAAAGUAUAAAUGAACUACUGAGGUUCAUCAUUGAUUGCUAAAUUGAAUUUUGAAUUUUAUAGUUGUUUUUCCAUGUGAGAGAGAUAUCAUAUUGGUAGCAUCCUGAAACCUCCUCAAAACAGAAUUUCUUGCUUUGAUGUUGUAUUUUUUGUAGGACAAUGAUAAUAUAUAUAAACCUAAUUUUGAACAAGCUACUGAAAGGUAUCAACAGCUAGAGAGAACAUCUAGAGCGUUUCCAAUGUCGAGAUCAAGUGAAUUUGUGUUGGGCUCGGUGGUGCUCGACUCUCCUAGCAUGAGGCUUUUGGGAGCAUUGUGUUGUAGAGUCCUCUCCUUGUGUGCCAGGCUGGCAUCAUUUCUACCAAUCGUGUUGUUGUUACAACUACUACAGCUUCAUUGCGCUUUGACUGUAAUUUGCAUCACUGUAUAUAUUUCUACUUUUCUGAGAUGAUUUUUUGAUGAUUAUAUGGUUCCAAACUUGUAUGGUUUAAGCAUGCAAUCCUCAGCCUUUUUAGGUAACUAUGUAUGGAGAUCAAAUCACAAUAGUUCCUAGGUGUAUCCAAAUGAGUGCUCAGAUGAUAGAAACCACACCAAAGUGAAUCCAGGAAACUUCGUGAUUUGUUAAAUCUGAUGGUCUUUCAGUAUGAAAAUCAUAAAGGUACACAUGAUUAGAGUUACUGUUUUUUUAUCUAAUUUAACACCAAGGAUGAAAUUUGAGAGAUCAAAAUCAAAUUCUCCUUUCUAAUAUGAGAAAUAUGGCGCCAUUAUGAUUUUCGUUCCAUUUGGACAAAAUAUUUGGAUCUUUAUAACUCCUUGCAAAUUACAGUUGUUAUUUUAUCUGCAGGUGGUUAUUGUUUUCCUUGCACUUGAGUUCAGACCAGCUGGAAUUAUUCUUGCCUGCGAAGCUUAGGACAUAUGGCUCUCCAUUUACUCCAUUUCAAUGUAGCAGUCUCUUUAUCAUAUCUAUUUUCUUUUGCUGCAGUGGAGUUUCAGAAGAAAGCCAAGACAAUACAAGUGAGAUAGCUAGCCGCACCAAUCAGUUGUGUGGACACGUGAAGUGUCUUAUGUCAUUGGUGGAUCUCCCAUGGGCUGGAUUUUUUAUGUGUGGCCUGAAGGAAAAGAAGAAUGGCUGUCACUUCAAGCUGAAAAGUCAAAUAUCACUCACUCAGCCACUCAACCACCUG